This is a non-coding RNA of Zopfochytrium polystomum, 82 nucleotides long. The record is from the annotation of a GenBank genome assembly. NCBI's taxonomy places the organism in Eukaryota, Fungi, Chytridiomycota, Chytridiomycetes, Chytridiales, Chytridiaceae.
GACAACGUGGCCGAGUGGUUAAGGCGACAGACUUGAAAUCUGUUGGGGUUUCCCCGCGUAGGUUCGAACCCUGCCGUUGUCG